Molecule: long non-coding RNA, 835 nt
Filed under: Gossypium barbadense (sea-island cotton)
Lineage: Eukaryota; Viridiplantae; Streptophyta; Magnoliopsida; Malvales; Malvaceae
Description: long non-coding RNA (GBAR_LNC021983)
Source: RNAcentral
UUUCAUCUCAUUUUAAAAAAAAAAAGCAAACGGAGAGCAAAAGCUCUCCCUCUCUCAGGCCUGUAAUCUGGCCAUGGUUUCCAGCCAAAGGCCGCCGUCGGCCCCGCCGCGCCGGCCACCGUCAAAAAGGUAAAUUUUUUCUCUCCUUUUAUACUUCUAAUUUAUUUAUAUAUAUAAACUGUUUUUUAGAAAGAAAAGUAAGAAAAAAUUAUAGAUAUAUGUAUUUUCGAAGGAAAAAUAAAGAAAAAUAAAUAAAUCUAAACGAAAACAACUUUGAUGUUCUUCAAGAAAAACCUAGAGAAAUUACAAAAGAGAGAGCCCCCUGUUACAGUUCAUAUUCGGCUUAUAUAGCCGAUUCUCCCUUCCUAUUUUUCAUUUGCAUUUUUUUAUUAUUUUGUCUUGGCUGUUGCGUGUUUCUUUUCUUUUGCAGGUGGAGCAGGUGGCUGAACGGUGCAGGCGCCGAUGGGACGUGCGGUGGUGGCGGCAGGUCAAGUGGCCGACCCUAGGUGCGGCGCACAUAGGGUUAGGUUUACUGUUUUGUUUCUGAUUUUGGCUAAUUGGGUUAGUGGGUUGGUAGUUGGGCUUGUAUUUGUUGGGCUUUGGGUGUUGUAAUUGGGCCAUUCAGAUUUGGGUUUAGUCUAGGUGGGUUAAUUUGGGUAAUGGACCUAGUUUGGGUUAGGUCAAAAUGGGCCUGUACAACACACAUAUUUAUAUAUGCUUUUGUUACACUUUAUUAUAACUUGUUAAUGCAUUAUUAAGAGUAUUUGUAAUUGUUUUUAGAUUGAAGUAUAAUUUUUUUUUGUUUAAGUUAAACUCUAAUUCGAAAAUUGUUCUU